GACGAACGCUGGCGGCGCGCUUUACACAUGCAAGUCGAGCGAUGAAAUUUCGACAGAUCCCUUCGGGGUGAAGAUGAAAUGGAUUAGCGGCGGACGGGUGAGUAACACGUGAGUAACCUGCCUUUGACAUUGGGAUAGCCUCGGGAAACUGGGAUUAAUACCAAAUGACACUAACUGAUCACAUGAUCAAUUAGUCAAAGAAAUUCGGUCAAAGAUGGACUCGCGGCUGAUUAGCUAGUUGGUGAGGUAACGGCCCACCAAGGCGACGAUCAGUAGCCGGCCUGAGAGGGUGAUCGGCCACAUUGGAACUGAGACACGGUCCAAACUCCUACGGGAGGCAGCAGUGGGGAAUAUUGCACAAUGGGGGAAACCCUGAUGCAGCGACGCCGCGUGAGCGAAGAAGGCCUUCGGGUCGUAAAGCUCUUUUAUGAGGGAAGAUAAUGACGGUACCUCAAGAAAAAGCCCCGGCUAACUACGUG
RNAcentral lists this ribosomal RNA (479 nucleotides) under uncultured bacterium. RNAcentral describes it as "partial 16S ribosomal RNA". It matches the Rfam family "Bacterial small subunit ribosomal RNA", at positions 28 to 507 of the family's 1533-position model. The record is from RNAcentral.